Molecule: unclassified non-coding RNA, 520 nt
Filed under: uncultured Glomus
Lineage: Eukaryota; Fungi; Glomeromycota; Glomeromycetes; Glomerales; Glomeraceae
Also listed under: 1 other name
Description: SSU rRNA
Rfam family: Eukaryotic small subunit ribosomal RNA
Source: RNAcentral
AGCAGCCGCGGUAAUUCCAGCUCCAAUAGCGUAUAUUAAAGUUGUUGCAGUUAAAAAGCUCGUAGUUGAAUUUCGGGAUCAAUUUGCUGGUCGUGCCUCUGGUACGUACUGGUAUUAUUGGUUUCUCCCUUCUGACGAACCAUGAUGUCAUUAAUUUGAUGUCGUGGAGAAUCAGGACUGUUACUUUGAAAAAAUUAGAGUGUUUAAAGCAGGCAUUAGCUUGAAUACAUUAGCAUGGAAUAAUGAAAUAGGACGUUUGAUCCUAUUUUUGUUGGUUUCUAGGAUUGACGUAAUGAUUAAUAGGGAUAGUUGGGGGCAUUAGUAUUCAAUUGUCAGAGGUGAAAUUCUUGGAUUUAUUGAAGACUAACUACUGCGAAAGCAUUUGCCAAGGAUGUUUUCAUUAAUCAAGAACGAAAGUUAGGGGAUCGAAGACGAUCAGAUACCGUCGUAGUCUUAACCAUAAACUAUGCCGACUAGGGAUCGGAUGAUGUUAAUUUUUUAAUGACUCAUUCGGCGCCUU